RNAcentral lists this ribosomal RNA (465 nucleotides) under Streptococcus thermophilus. RNAcentral's name for it is "bacterial SSU rRNA". It matches the Rfam family "Bacterial small subunit ribosomal RNA", at positions 339 to 794 of the family's 1533-position model. The record is from RNAcentral. Lineage: Bacteria; Bacillati; Bacillota; Bacilli; Lactobacillales; Streptococcaceae.
CUACGGGGAGGCAGCAGUAGGGAAUCUUCGGCAAUGGGGGCAACCCUGACCGAGCAACGCCGCGUGAGUGAAGAAGGUUUUCGGAUCGUAAAGCUCUGUUGUAAGUCAAGAACGGGUGUGAGAGUGGAAAGUUCACACUGUGACGGUAGCUUACCAGAAAGGGACGGCUAACUACGUGCCAGCAGCCGCGGUAAUACGUAGGUCCCGAGCGUUGUCCGGAUUUAUUGGGCGUAAAGCGAGCGCAGGCGGUUUGAUAAGUCUGAAGUUAAAGGCUGUGGCUCAACCAUAGUUCGCUUUGGAAACUGUCAAACUUGAGUGCAGAAGGGGAGAGUGGAAUUCCAUGUGUAGCGGUGAAAUGCGUAGAUAUAUGGAGGAACACCGGUGGCGAAAGCGGCUCUCUGGUCUGUAACUGACGCUGAGGCUCGAAAGCGUGGGGAGCGAACAGGAUUAGAUACCCUGGGUAGU